Molecule: unclassified non-coding RNA, 200 nt
Filed under: Zasmidium sp.
Lineage: Eukaryota; Fungi; Ascomycota; Dothideomycetes; Mycosphaerellales; Mycosphaerellaceae
Description: partial internal transcribed spacer 2
Source: RNAcentral
UUAAGUUCAGCGGGUAUCCCUACCUGAUCCGAGGUCAACCUUUGAUAAGAGUUUAACGGCCGCGGCUGUUCGAACUCGGAGCGAUCGUGUGUCACAACGCUGGGAGACGGACAGCUCAGCCGGAGACUUUGAGGUGCGCGGAGCCGCGACGCCCAAUACCAAGCCAGGCUUGAGUGGUGAAAUGACGCUCGAACAGGCAU